GAUGAACGCUAGCGGCAGGCCUAAUACAUGCAAGUCAAGGGGAUAGCAAUAUCACCGGCGGACGGGUGCGUAACGCGUACACAACGUGCCCAAGGGCGGAGGAAAGCGGCGGGAAACUGCCGGUAAUACUCCAUGGUGUUGUUGAGUGGCAUCACUUAACAACUAAAGUACAAGCGCCCUUGGAUCGGUGUGCGUUCGAUUAGCUAGUUGGCGGGGUAACGGCCCACCAAGGCUUCGAUCGAUAGGGGGUGUGAGAGCAUGACCCCCCCACACGGGUACGUGAGACACGGACCCGACUCCUACGGGAGGCAGCAGUAAGGAAUAUUGGACGAAUGGGCGGGAAGCCUGAUCCAGCCAUGCCGCGUGAAGGACGAAGGCGCUCAGCGUUGUAAACUU
RNAcentral lists this ribosomal RNA (396 nucleotides) under uncultured bacterium. Its description in RNAcentral is "bacterial SSU rRNA". It matches the Rfam family "Bacterial small subunit ribosomal RNA", at positions 28 to 432 of the family's 1533-position model. The record is from RNAcentral.